GUGCUGUGAUGUAAAUCAAUGAUUCGGGCAGAGGGUUUACGGAGCUUUAACAGUGGGUUCGCGAAAUUCCGCAACUCGAAUAGGUGUAAAAACCGAAAGAAAAUCGCAAAA
The submitters of this non-coding RNA (111 nucleotides) gave its source as unclassified sequences. The record is from Rfam.